RNAcentral lists this ribosomal RNA (137 nucleotides) under uncultured eukaryote. Its description in RNAcentral is "partial 18S ribosomal RNA". It matches the Rfam family "Eukaryotic small subunit ribosomal RNA", at positions 1299 to 1458 of the family's 1831-position model. The record is from RNAcentral.
UCGUGAGGCGACUUGUCUGCUUAACUGCGAUAACGAGCGAGACCUUAACCUACUAAAUAGCCCGGCUAGCUUUGGCUGGUCGCUGGCUUCUUAGAGGGACUGUUGGCUUAAGCCAAGGGAAGUUUGAGGCAAUAACA